GUGAGGAAUUUUCCGCAAUGGGCGAAAGCCUGACGGAGCAAUGCCGCGUGAAGGAUGAAGGCCUAUGGGUUGUAAACUUCUUUUCUCAGAAAAGAAUUAUGACGGUAUCUGAGGAAUAAGCAUCGGCUAACUCUGUGCCAGCAGCCGCGGUAAGACAGAGGAUGCAAGCGUUAUCCGGAAUGAUUGGGCGUAAAGCGUCUGUAGGUUGUUUAAAAAGUAUUCUGUCAAAGAUUAGGGCUUAACCCUAGAUAGGCAGAAUAAACUUUUAAGCUAGAGUUUGGUAGAGGCAGAGGGAAUUCCCGGUGGAGCGGUGAAAUGCGUAGAUAUCGGGAGGAACACCAAAGGCGAAGGCACUCUGCUGGGCCAAUACUAACACUGAGAGACGAAAGCGAGGAGAGCAAAUGGGAUUAGAAACCCCGGUAGUCC
RNAcentral lists this ribosomal RNA (426 nucleotides) under uncultured bacterium. Its description in RNAcentral is "bacterial SSU rRNA". It matches the Rfam family "Bacterial small subunit ribosomal RNA", at positions 354 to 796 of the family's 1533-position model. The record is from RNAcentral.